Molecule: long non-coding RNA, 1678 nt
Organism: Oreochromis aureus
Lineage: Eukaryota; Metazoa; Chordata; Actinopteri; Cichliformes; Cichlidae
Source: Ensembl
UGUGUGUUGGCACAUUUGUGUUUUAUUUUAACAAUAUUUAUUGUGUACAGGCAUUUACAUCUCAGCUGUAGCUGAUACAUGUGUUGAGGAUUAUUCCAGCUGAACAGACUUGACUUAAAGAUUUGAAAGCUCAAAAAAAAAAAAAAAAAAAGUCUGAUUAAAUGAGAAAAUAUGUUUUGCAAACUGGAAGAAAUGGCUGUUUAUUUCCCCUCUCCACUGGACCUGACUGAAGCAAAUAAAUUCUAAUUGUGUUGUUUGGGAAUUUUUAAUCACAGCUUUGCAGAUUUCUCCCUUUAGACAAGGUUUACUGUUGCUAUGCAUCCAAAGUCAGUGUCUGUGUAUUUAAUUCUCUUCUUUUAUAAGAUUUUAUCAAACCUGUAAUCAGUGUAAACAUGACUAACAGACGAGCAGUGAUGCCUGCGCGGUCGUUCCAGCCAAAACCCAGGAACAUGUCAGCGAUUGAAGGCAUUCUGACACAAAAUGACCCAACUUAAGGCCUGAAUUAUUUCCUUAAAAAAAGAAACAGCAUCUUCUUAAGGGACUGAAACAGUAAUUUCCAGUAUAUGUAUAUCCCAAAGGAUUACACUGAGGCUUUGCUGUCAGUAUUAAAGUAACAGCUUCCUGCAUUAAUUAUUGCUUCUCUGAAUGAGGACUGGUGCUGUUAUUUUUUGCUUUUUAUCCUCGGAUGUCUGUGAGCACAAAGAGAUCCUAAAUUAUUCAUUUGUGCCGACUACGAAACGUCCCCUAUGGAUCUUAAUCGAGGCUGAAGACCUCGGGGCCCAAUUUUCCAUGAAUGAAUAAAAAGUUUCCUCCUUAACGCAAAGAAGCGGCCGCGGUGAGCGCAGCGCUGCGGUCCACAGUGCGCUCCGGCUGCCUGUUUGGGGCCGUGACAUCGGUUAGGGCCUCUGUGACACUACACCGACGGUUCAAACGCAAAAUAAAGAGAUUUAAAAUCAGUCAGACAAAUAAAUCAAUACGGUAAAUGUAUAAACAACAACAGGAACCCCUUCAGAAAUCGCCACAACACCUCCGGGUGCAUUAACAUAGCUGCUGCUUUUGCAGCUCGUCUCUUGUCUAACAGUUUCAUUAGGUCUUCCUCUCCACUGGCUCUUCAUCACUGUUUUCAUUGAGCCAGCUCGAUAGUGGAUUCAAAACAUUAGCGCGACUCAGGCGGCUGAUCGCGUGGUUUAUGCUUUAUUUACGUGAUUAGAAAAAGAAUCCAGGGCUCCUCUCGGUGACAGGGUAAAGACAGAGCAUCGGGGUCUUACCGUCAGCGGCCAGGGAGCUCUGGAUCAUCAGCAUCAGCGCCGCGCCGAUGGUCACAAACCACCGGGCCACCAUUCCAUUCAGCACGCGCGUCCUCUUCCCGAUCCUCGGCGAGUAGACGGCCACCAUCCCCGCAUCCAGGAUCCAUAGCGACGAGGAGGAAGAGCAGGGGUCUUCUUUCUUAUUUACCCCUCCGACCCCGGGGCCACCGCUGCUGGAGAGGCGCGCAUGUUUGGGAGCCAUUGGUCAACCAAUUAAUCCUGAAUGGGAAACAUCUAACGGCGCUGCUGGGAUGAAAGGCAUCCGAUCAACCUGCCCCCGGUUCGGACAAGCAGGGCUCCGCUCUCCAUGAGCCUGCUGGAGGCUGUGAAGGUCGACGAAAAAACAAAGAAGCGUUAGUUUUCUCCUUUUG